ACUACUAUAGAUAUGAUGUAGGCCUCUCCUGGUGAGUUCUGAAAAGAAACCUUUGGAAGUUUUUAUUGCAGAUUCAAAUUUCGAUUGAUAUUAUGUGCUGGGCAAAAUAACAUUAGAAUACAGGCCAGCAUUCAGACGUUGGCUGACGUGUGUUGUCAUUGUUCCUUACCAUAGUAAGCGGUGCAAAGCGGCACAGAAAUGUGGUCGGAAAAACGAGCUAAACCAACUUUUGAGUCGUUGCUUUGUCACUUUGGUUUGUUAGCAGUGUGAUGAACAUAUUUAUCAAAUAAGUCUGGAUGCUAAGACAAGCUUUGGAGCUGUUUAUAUCAAACACGAGUGAGGCUGGACGCUGAACACACCUGCGACGCAAAGGUAACGCUAACGAGCUAACGACGCUCAUUCUAAAGGGGCUAUCGAUUCAAGUUUCCCUGACAUGAGCUGUGGGCCCCUGAAGGUACCGCUGGUAGAGGGGCGGGGUUGGUUUGUUUCCGUCAGUAAGACUCCUGAGGUCUGUACUACGAAGGGAGUUUAACCUACUCGGAUUUAACUCGGGGUUAUCAAGGAAACAAACCCUGACUGCCUCGAUCUGUGUUAAACGGUACGACGGUGGUUCAGAUGUCGGGCUCAAACUUCACAGAAAAAAAGAGACUGACAUGAAAAUUCACAAAAGGUAUUUCUGCCUCUGGAGCUGUAGAGUCUGAUCUGUGAUGACAAGUCUCCUGCUUCUCCUACAACUCCACUCAACACCUGCUGCUAUAAUUAGAAAUGACUUAUACUGCUAUUAGUUGUAUUGCUAUAUUAGCAGUUAAUACUUUAAUUAUCACUGCUAUCAUUACUACUGCUGUAUUACUGGCAUCACCUUACAUUUUAUUGGAACCUGUGUUAUGCUAUGUUCUUCUCUCGCUAUCCCCCACCCCCACCCCCUUCCUCUCCUGUUGUUGUGAUUUGGUGCUAUAUAAAUAAAAUUGAAUUGAAAUUGAAUUGAAUUAUAUAAAUAAAAUUGAAUUGAAUUGAA
Molecule: long non-coding RNA, 1015 nt
Organism: Lates calcarifer (barramundi perch)
Lineage: Eukaryota; Metazoa; Chordata; Actinopteri; Centropomidae
Exons: 3
Source: RefSeq, a predicted model, not a curated record